RNAcentral lists this ribosomal RNA (421 nucleotides) under Fusobacteriota bacterium. RNAcentral describes it as "Fusobacteria bacterium partial 16S ribosomal RNA". It matches the Rfam family "Bacterial small subunit ribosomal RNA", at positions 355 to 776 of the family's 1533-position model. Lineage: Bacteria; Fusobacteriati; Fusobacteriota. The record is from RNAcentral.
UGGGGAAUAUUGCACAAUGGACGGAAGUUUGAUGCAGCGACGCCGCGUGGAGGGUGUAGGUCUUCGGGUUGUGAACUCCUUUUUCUCGCGAAAAAGGCACAGCUUUGGCUGUGUUGAUGGUAGUGGGGGAAGAAGCGCCGGCUAACUACGUGCCAGCAGCCGCGGUAAUACGUAGGGCGCGAGCGUUGUCCGGAUUUAUUGGGCGUAAAGAGCUCGUAGGCGGUUCGUCGUGUCUGUCGUGAAAGCCAGCAGCUUAACUGUGGGUCUGCGGUGGAUACGGGCGGGCUUGAGUGCGGUAGGGGUGGCUGGAAUUCCUGGUGUAGCGGUGGAAUGCGCAGAUAUCAGGAGGAACACCGAUGGCGAAGGCAGGUCACUGGGCCGUUACUGACACUGAGGAGCGAAAGCGUGGGGAGCGAACAGG